RNAcentral lists this ribosomal RNA (435 nucleotides) under uncultured bacterium. RNAcentral describes it as "partial 16S ribosomal RNA". It matches the Rfam family "Bacterial small subunit ribosomal RNA", at positions 29 to 507 of the family's 1533-position model. The record is from RNAcentral.
AACGAACGCUGGCGGCAUGCCUAACACAUGCAAGUCGAACGAUUGCCUUCGGGUGAUAGUGGCGCACGGGUGCGUAACGCGUGGGAAUCUGCCCUUAGGUUCGGAAUAACAGCUGGAAAAGGCUGCUAAUACCGGAUGAUAUCGCGAGAUCAAAGAUUUAUCGCCUGAGGAUGAGCCCGCGUUGGAUUAGGUAGUUGGUGGGGUAAAGGCCUACCAAGCCGACGAUCCAUAGCUGGUCUGAGAGGAUGAUCAGCCACACUGGGACUGAGACACGGCCCAGACUCCUACGGGAGGCAGCAGUGGGGAAUAUUGGACAAUGGGCGCAAGCCUGAUCCAGCAAUGCCGCGUGAGUGAUGAAGGCCCUAGGGUUGUAAAGCUCUUUUACCCGGGAAGAUAAUGACUGUACCGGGAGAAUAAGCCCCGGCUAACUCCGUG